This 216-nucleotide ribosomal RNA is filed under the name Glomeromycotina sp. Its description in RNAcentral is "partial small subunit ribosomal RNA". The stretch from base 40 to 216 matches the Rfam family "Eukaryotic small subunit ribosomal RNA", at positions 686 to 864 of the family's 1831-position model. The record is from RNAcentral. Lineage: Eukaryota; Fungi; Glomeromycota.
GGGUCAGUAGGUUGGUCGUGCCACCGGUACGUACUGGUCUCACUGAUUCCUCCUUCCUGAAGAACCGUAAUGCCAUUAAUUUGGUGUUGCGGGGAAACAGGACUGUUACUUUGAAAAAAUUAGAGUGUUUAAAGCAAGCUAACGCUUGAAUACAUUAGCUUGGAAUAAUGAAAUAGGACUAUCGAUCCUAUUUUGUUGGUUUCUAGGAUUGACGUA